This 1240-nucleotide long non-coding RNA is filed under the name Monodelphis domestica (gray short-tailed opossum). RNAcentral describes it as "lncRNA (ENSMODG00000033263.2)". Lineage: Eukaryota; Metazoa; Chordata; Mammalia; Didelphimorphia; Didelphidae. The record is from RNAcentral.
GGAGGGAGAGCCUAAUGAUCCUUCUGCAGGUGGGAGCCCGCAGGAUUUGGAGACUGAGGACCUAAGGGGUGGAGGGUUGGGGCGCUGGACUCCCUGCCUUCUCUGGCCCGGGGAAAGGUGGUGCGAGGUGGGGGGGCUCGAAAAUGCUCUGGGCUCCGGCUCCGCAGUGAGGGGAGGGGGGGGCGGCGCAAAGAGAGGAGCGCUCUGCGGCCACGUGACACUCUCUUUCCCCCUCCCCCCCUCCUCCCCUCUCUCCCCCCUUCAACUGCAGCGGCGGCGGCGGCAGUGACAGCGGCGGGAGCAGCAGCGGGAGUGGAGCUGCGUCCGACUGGGGCUGCUGAGGCCAGCACCAGAGCCGAGUGGAGCCGAGCGGAGGGAGCCCCGCGUGCCCUCCCCCAGGCCCUGUGGGAGGAAUGAUGGGCAGAGCCAGCCCUUCCCUCAUGCGUUAGACUUGCCUCGAGUGGACUCUGCUCCUCCCCACACAGCUUCCCUCUAUCCCAAGGUAAAGUGGCCUCUCCUCCCUGCCUCCAGGAAACCCAGUGAGGGCCAUGUAGUGGGGAGAGGGAGGGACGAAACGAGGGAGCAAUCAUGGGAUGCGCUGGGCCUGGUUCCUCACAGCUCCAGGGGCCGGGCUUGGGGAUGAGGGGAUCUGGGUUUGAAUCCUGACUCUGACAUUUGGUCAUGCUGGGCAAGUGACUUCUCCUCCCUGAAGGCCAAUUUUCUUAUCUGUAAAGUGAUGGAAUUGGGCCAAGUGAUCUCCAAAGGGCCUGCUAGCUCUAGAUCUCUGAGCCUCCGUUUCCUUAGCCUUAAAAUGGGGAUGAUAAUAUUUGUACUGCCUACCUCCACAGGGUGUUAGGAGGAAAGUGGUUUUUAAAAACCCUUAAGUGCUAUGGAAGAGGGAGCAGCAGCAUCCAUUGCCACCAGUCCCCUGAUCUCUGUCAGAGAGGGAGUACAGUGGAGAGAGCGCUGGGCCUGGAGUCAGGAGGAGCUGCGAUCAAUUCCAGCCUCACAUGCUUCCUAGCUAUAUUACAUUGGACAAGUGAUUUAAUUUCUCUUUGCCUCCAUUUCCUCAACUGUAAAAUGCAGUUCAUAAUAACACCCACUUCUCAAGGUUAUGACAAUUAAAUGCAGUAAUAUUUGUAAAAAAUGCUUAGCACAAAACUUUUUUCCCUUUCUUAUUUUUGUCCAAGUUUCCUUCCACAAAAGGAUUAAUAUGGAAAAAUAUUUUAUAUGAUUGCAC